Molecule: ribosomal RNA, 468 nt
Filed under: uncultured bacterium
Lineage: Bacteria
Description: partial 16S ribosomal RNA
Rfam family: Bacterial small subunit ribosomal RNA
Source: RNAcentral
GACGAACGCUGGCGGCGUGCUUAACACAUGCGAGUCGAACGGAAAGGCCCUGCUUUUGUGGGGUGCUCGAGUGGCGAACGGGUGAGUAACACGUGAGUAACCUGCCCUUGACUUUGGGAUAACUUCAGGAAACUGGGGCUAAUACCGGAUAGGAGCUCCUGCUGCAUGGUGGGGGUUGGAAAGUUUCGGCGGUUGGGGAUGGACUCGCGGCUUAUCAGCUUGUUGGUGGGGUAGUGGCUUACCAAGGCUUUGACGGGUAGCCGGCCUGAGAGGGUGACCGGCCUCAUUGGGACUGAGAUACGGCCCAGCCUCCUACGGGAGGCAGCAGUGAGGAAUAUUGCACACUGGGCGGAAGCCUGAUGCAGCAACGCCGCGUGCGGGAUGACGGCCUUCGGGUUGUAAACCGCUUUCGCAUGUGACGAAGCGUGAAUGACGGUAAUGGGUAAAGAAGCACCGGCUAACUACGUG